Molecule: non-coding RNA, 149 nt
Organism: Solanum tuberosum (potato)
Lineage: Eukaryota; Viridiplantae; Streptophyta; Magnoliopsida; Solanales; Solanaceae
Source: Rfam
GACUCUCGGCAACGGACAUCUCGGCUCUCGCAUCGAUGAAGAAUAUAGCGAAAUGCGACACUUGGUGCAGAAUCCCGUGAACCAUCGAGUCUUUGAACGCAAAAUACGCCUGAAGCCAUUAGGUCGAGGGCACAUCUGUCUAGGUGUCA